ACGCUCGACACCUACGGGAGGCUGCAGUGGGGAAUAUUGCACAAUGGGGGAAACCCUGAUGCAGCGACGCCGCGUGAAGGAAGAAGUAUCUCGGUAUGUAAACUUCUAUCAGCAGGGAAGAAAAUGACGGUACCUGACUAAGAAGCCCCGGCUAACUACGUGCCGGCAGCCGCGGUAAUCUGAGCGGGCUGGCAAGGC
This 198-nucleotide ribosomal RNA is filed under the name uncultured bacterium. RNAcentral describes it as "partial 16S ribosomal RNA". It matches the Rfam family "Bacterial small subunit ribosomal RNA", at positions 328 to 539 of the family's 1533-position model. The record is from RNAcentral.